This 663-nucleotide long non-coding RNA is filed under the name Lathyrus oleraceus (garden pea). RNAcentral's name for it is "Pisum sativum (pea) long non-coding RNA (PSAT_LNC015136)". Lineage: Eukaryota; Viridiplantae; Streptophyta; Magnoliopsida; Fabales; Fabaceae. The record is from RNAcentral.
AUGAUCUACAAGGUGUACUCUACAAGACCCACAACGAUUUUGAGAAUGGUGAUAGUCGAAUCCGAACCUUUUCGAGGAGCAGUACCGGAAUCCGCGAGUAUUUUGCUUCAAUGAGUGAAAACAGACGAUCUGCAGCAGCUAGGAAUGUGUGAUGAAGCUUCGGAAUGGCUUAACAAUGCCUCAAAUCGCAGCAAAUCUUGGCUGCCAUGGAUGAAUGGUGAUUUGGACAGUUGUGAUCGUGAUCUUUCUUGAUCCAAAACCUGCAAACAGAAACUCACAAACAAGUAUGGAUGAUGAAUUCACUGAGGAUUCGCACAAAGCUUGGAGAAUUGUUGAUGAAUUGGUGAAAAAAAAUCAAUAUGCAAUGUGAAAAAGUGAGAGGAAAAUGAGAGAGUUCUUGAGAUUUUUUUGUUGAAUUUGUGAAUUAUGAUUAGUGUGCAUUUCUGUUAGAGAUUAAGUAUUUAUAUGGAAACACUAAUCCAAGUUCUUAAUCUCAAUUAGUGAAAAAUGGUGAUUAAUGAAAAUGAGCUUUGUAUGUGCAAUUGGCCUUUUUUGCUCUUUCUCUAAACCAAUCCAUAUAUCAGCUCAAAUUUGAUUCCAGCAAGUCCAAAAUACCAUAUGCAAUGUGUAGAAACAAAAAUCAUUUCAAUUGGAUGCCUAUUU